GUCAAGUUACCUUAACUCUCUAUGCCUCGAUUUCUUUACACGUCUAACCAGUUUAAGCAUGGUGGCUACCUCAUAGAAUUGUGAGGAUUGAAAGACCUAAAGCCUUGACCCAGAACCAAGGUAACGGCUCAGUAAACGUUGGUUCCUAAGAAGGAUUCAUAUGAGUUUCCGAGAAAUGCAAAUAGUGUUGUCAGAAUUGCGAUUUGGACACCGGGCUCUCAGACCCCAAAGCCUGCUCGCCAACUAUACUAUAAUGAAGGCAACUGAAGUGUGAAGUGGAACUGAGGCAAAGAGAGAUGGGAACAAGGUUGUAGCUCUGUGUUUCAGGUGACACCAGGGACUGCAGAGAGAGGUUUUCAUCUGGAACUGAGGAGAGGAUAUGAAACCCAGAAAGGAAAAAUUGAGCCGUCACCUGGAGAUAAAGGAACGCACUCUCUGGCUGGGAGAGGUGUAGGGAGAUGGCCCCCCAGGCCGGGAGUCUGACGACUUAUCCCACUGAGCUCCGACCAGCUUCAUCCACCUCAAGACAAGAGUGUGCAUCUUCCCCUCACUCAAAGCCUGUGUCCUGUGACCUGAGGCAAUGGAAAGAGAGUUUGAAUUCUGUCCCAUCGAACCAUGUGCACUUGGGCAAAUUGCGUAUCCCUUCAAGGACUCGGCUUCCUAACCUGAAGAAUGGGUGAUGGAAGAAUGACUUUGGAUCAGAACACUGUCACUUUUGGUUUAUGCAAAGGCAUGGUCACAACAAUGAAGAGGGCAAAGAUCUGGGACUUCAUCCAGUUUGUAGAGCAGGUUGUACCACUGUUUUGUUCCUUUGCUAAUAAAUGCUCAUGAGCAACUGAUGUUGGUUUGGGGCUUGUUUCCAGUAGACCUGGAGGAAAGUUUUAGGGGCAGAAACUUAUAUCUUUGCUACUCAAAAUGUGGUGCAGGCAACCAGCAGCAUGGGCAUCAUCUGGGAGUCUGUGAGUAAUACAGAAUCGGGCCACCCCAGACCCAUUGAAUCAAAAUCAGGAUUUUAAUAGGAUCCCAGGCUAUUCAUGCACAUGGUAGAAUUUGAGAGUUCUGUUACAGACUUCACUUACCUCUAACGUUAGAUGUUCAUUGAUACCAAAAAUAAUCAAUUGUGAAGCAUGAGAUUGGCUUAGGCCAGCUUGCAACAGAGAGCAAGAAGGAAAAUUACCGAGAACUUUAUGCUAUGGGCCUUCUGGGAAGAGCUUGGAAGGAAGGGGAAAAGAGAAGCAAGGAAGGAAGUGAAGCUUAGCAGAAGUUGCAAACUCAGACACUCACAUGGACAAGGCCAGGAAGGGAAACAAGAAACGUGGGAGUGAUGGGAACUACUGUGAACUCUAGAAUUCAUGCCUCUUUCAAAAACAGCCACCAUGACUCAGCUCUGGACUAUCGCCACACAGAAAUGUGGGCCUCAUGUUGUCAGCCCUUCUGACUGUUUCAGAAACCCAGAAUCUACAUUUUAAUGAAAAAUUCCCUGAUUUAUAUUCGGUGAGGCCCAGUAGACUAAAUCUAUCGGCUAAUAGCAACGGAGCUUACUCAGUCACCAGCUCCUUAAAAGACCCUAUGGCAAGUCAUUUCUUCUCUCUGUAUUUCUAUUUAUGUAUUCCUUUCAUGGGUUAUUAUUAGUGAACCUGUAAUUUCCCAAAUCCAUUAGAAUAAUAAUGAUGUGCUUGGGAGACCUGAGCCAAAGUCACUGAGAAUACAUUGCCGAUUUCAGUUGGAGUUGGUAUCCUUGGAAAGCUGGCAACCUGCAGCUUUCCGCUGGGGUCUUGAUUUUCUGCUGGUGAACUCAAAGGUUUGGAAAACACACUACUUAACCAUUCAUUGCUAUCUAAACAGGUGGCUACUAUAAGCUUUGCAAUUUAGUGGUACACAACUGAGUUCAGAUUUAGGUCUUUGAUUAAUACAGUUUCAUUUCUCUAGGAGACACAGGGCAUUGGGAGUGAGCAGUAGUAGUGGGUGUGAGGGCUCAGAACCCCCAGGUGAAUGCAGUGAGCUGCUCCUCUGGGGAUGUGUCUCAGAAUUGAGUGAUUUUCAAGAUGCUGUCUAAAGACCACCUGCACUAAAAUUACUGGGGCAAAGGGGGUCAAUUAUAUGGUGGAAAAUACGUGUUUGGUGGUGAGCAUGCUGUAGUGUAUACAGAUGUCGAAUUAUAAUUUGGUACACCUGAAACCUAUACAAUGUUAUAAACCAGUGUUACCUCAAUAAAAACAAA
This is a non-coding RNA of Equus caballus (horse), 2221 nucleotides long. The record is from RefSeq and is a predicted model, not a curated record. NCBI's taxonomy places the organism in Eukaryota, Metazoa, Chordata, Mammalia, Perissodactyla, Equidae.